Molecule: ribosomal RNA, 253 nt
Filed under: uncultured bacterium
Lineage: Bacteria
Description: partial 16S ribosomal RNA
Rfam family: Bacterial small subunit ribosomal RNA
Source: RNAcentral
GACAGAGGGUGCAAACGUUGUUCGGAAUUACUGGGCGUAAAGCGUGUGUAGGCGGUUCUGUAAGUCAGGUGUGAAAGCCCGGGGCUCAACCCCGGAAGUGCACUUGAUACUGCAGGGCUAGAGUACCGGAGAGGUUGGUGGAAUUCUCGGUGUAGAGGUGAAAUUCGUAGAUAUCGAGAGGAACACCGGUGGCGAAGGCGGCCAACUGGACGGAUACUGACGCUGAGACACGAAAGCGUGGGGAGCAAACAGG